AUGGAGAAACCCUGUCUCAAAAAGACAAAAAAAAGUUCCUUUCCCCACCCUCUCUCGCUGCUUCAGCACCCUAAUUGUUCCGCCGUCACACCCUGGUUCCACCUGUCCCUUCUGCUCAUCUUGGCAUGGCCCACCCUUGAGAAGACUUGGCCUGGCCUUUGGGCAUGUCCCUCUGGGUCUUGGCGUACAGCUUGGCAUGGAGCCUCGCCUCCUCCACUCUGGCUGGGGCUGAGUUCUGAUUGCUGGGCCGACUUAAAACCGAUGACCAUGAGUGAGGUCUGGGCUUUUCCGAUGCUUAGAGAAAGGAACCCAUCCUCUGGGCCUGCCGGGGAGGAAGUCGGAAGUCCCGGCCUCAGCAGGAGUGAGGGAAGGACCCUUCUGCCUUGUGCCUCCCAAGCCCCCUACAGCCCUGGGGACCCAGGUGUCCUUGAUCUCUGCUCCAUGGUCCCGUGGCCAUUGUCCGGGUCUCUGUGUCCCCUCCUCUUACAAGGACACCAGUCAGAUCACUUUGUGAGGCCCCAGGAAGACGAACGGCUCCUGUCCACCGGGCAUCUUCCCACAAUACGGCCACCCGCCUGCUUUGGUGUUCGCUGGCCUACAGCAGCUGUGUAUGUCCCACCCAGUGCUACCGACGCCGGCUCUGCUCACCUGACUGUGGCCUGUGUUCAGGCUCCUGUGGGAGAAGCACCAGCUGCGGGCUUACCUCUUGGGGUCUCCUUCCCCUGGGAUCCGUCUGGACUCAGCCUGGGACACUGCCCUUGGCCGUUUCCCAGCUUCCGCAGUUGUCCUGAACGCACAGUUUGCCAAUUUGUCUUCAUGGAGAGAAACAGAAGUCUCACCGGGCAUUUCUUUCUCCCAGGCUCACGUCCGCAGAGCACAGGGGACCGGCUCAGGGGCCUUCCUGUCGGUUUACACGAGGUCGAGGUCAGGCUAAGGGAAGUGCUUCAGCACUGCGUGACCUCGGGGAGCCCCACCUACUGUAGAGUCCUGCGGCGCCUGUUUCUUCCCAUGGCUUGUUUCCUUCCUCGGAUUCAUUUGAAAGUAAGUUGCAGACCUCAUUCUCCUUGUACCCCAAAUUCUUCAUUACACAUUUCCCAAAACAAGCCUUCAGUGCGAUCACUGAGAAUAGGGCAUUUGCUGUUCAAACACUAAUGUUACCUAAGCCAGUGCUUGUACUGGAAUUCUACCAGUUUCCCCGGUGACACCCUUUAUCACAAUCCUGCCACACACACACACACACACACACAGGCCCAGCCCAGAGCCGCGCACCGCCCACGGGCCCGUCUUAUUAUUUCACCCACUCUUCCCCUUCAGUCGGAGGGUCCUCAGGAUCAGUUCCCCUGAUGCUGCUUAGCCAGGGGCUGUGUUCUCAGCACUUCCUGGCAAACGGCACGGGAUCUUAACUUGCUGCAUCACUGUUCAUUGUAAUCCCAAAUACUGAGUAUCAUAAUCCCUUUUCCUGUUUUCCUUAAAAUCCAAAAGGUUAUAUUUGUAAUCCCCUUGAGACGUGAUUGGAAUCCCGGCAAGUUAAUUCCAAUCCACCACCUCCAAUACAACCCACGGCGAGAGUAAAGACACCAAGACAGAUUCCAACUUAAGAACAGCCAAGGGGUCCUGAGUCCAAUCUCCGUGAGGGUGUGCAGAGAGGCCCUGAUCCUAGGCCUCUCCCAGCAUUCCUUAUCUUGUGAAGAAGGGGCGUGGCUCCAGGAUGAGUGACAGUGAGGAUGGUGGGAAUCACGUGAGUAACCUGAACUGGCUUGGCAGGUGGAGAGAAAAGCAUCUUUGCAAAAUGCAGGGAGAAUGACAUGCAAAAGGAUCAGUCUGCAUAAUACAAUUCAGGUAGAAAUUGAAUUGUUGUUGGAUGCUGAUGCUUCAGUUACUAAUAUGUAAACGUUUUUUUUUUCUUUUUUCUUUUUUUUUUUUUUUUUUUUUUUUUGGUCUUUUUCGUUUUUAUCGGUACCAGGGAUCGAACUCAGGACUGCCUGCUUGCAAGGCAGGCGCUUAUGCCGCUGAGCUAAAUCCCCAGCCCCACUAAUAUGUAAACUUUUGUUCCCUGGGGACUCAGAGCCUCUUACUUUGAGUCUGGCACCCAGCUGACAUUUCUGGAGCUGACUGGCUCUGCCAUCCCUUGUGUGUGGAUCUUUUACAGACAGCACUAUGCGAGGAACAGGAGGCUGUCAGACUGACUUCAAAGAUUACCCAUCAGUACUUCAGCCGGCCUUACUUGCAUUGCUUAGAGCCAGUUGAAGAGAAGAAAUACCAGCGCCAGCCCUGUACAUAUCAGUAUAUGGAAAUAAGACUCCAUUUAACCAGUGUUGUAGCAGCUGUUCUGCAAGCAAGCAGAGGAGCUUGUGUCGUCUUCUACAACCAUCACUGUUGGAUUCCAUCACUGAUGAAGCUGACAUCUGCUGGCAUUCCCUGCUGUGCAUUUGCUCCAGUUCCCUUUGCAGAUGGCGAGUGUUUCUGUGGGGACUUUGAGACUCAUGCAAACACCAUUCCUCAUAGACACUACCGAAGGUAGGGUCUGUGUAUCACCCCUCCCUCCCCUUCCUGCCCUCCUUCUCCCCCUUCCUUCCCCUCCCGCCCUCCCUUUGUAUCACCUGGUUUUCUUCCCACUUGGCGAAGCCAGUCUUCAGGUACCUUCUCAGAAGGGACGUCUCGGGGACGCAGGUCUGAGCCUGCGUGACAGUGUCUCCCUUGGGAAGAAGGAGGCACCACUCCUUCUUGAAUGGCUACUUGGGUUAGUUACACAGCUCUAGAGUAGGAGACUCUUUGCAGCCUUUGUUUUACUGUCUCCCAGUGUCCUGUGCUGCUGUUGAAAAGCUGCUGUUAUUCCAACUUAUAAAAUCUCCUCUGAAAUAUUUUAAAACUUGUUUCUAGAAAGUUUUUUGGUGGGAAAAGUGUCUCCCAUUUUGGUGCUGGGCACUCUCUGACCUGGUCAGUCUGGAAAAGCUUGCUCCUCAGUGGUUGCAGUGUGGGUUCUUUUUCCUUUAGUAAUCUAUUCUCUGAAGAAAAUGUGGCAUAUGUACAUUGUGGAGUACUAGUCAGCCAUAAAAAAGACAAAUUUGAGUCAUGUAGGAAAGUGGGUGCACCUUGAGACCAUAGGUUAAAUAGUAUGUGAGUUUUCUUAUACAGUAAGAGAAACCCAAAGUAUAAAUAAUUUAAGUAACAAAAUAAAAGACAGAUGGUAGGAAACAGGAAGAGAGACCUUUUGGAGAAGAGAAAGGUAUCUAGGGAUGGAGAGAUAGGGGAGGGAAGUAAAAAAACUGAGAUGUGAUACAUAUGUGUACCAACUUCCCACUGAUGAAUGUGUUCACUUUGUACCAUAAUCAUGUACUAAUAAAAAUUGUUAAACUUAAC
Molecule: long non-coding RNA, 3360 nt
Organism: Cavia porcellus (domestic guinea pig)
Lineage: Eukaryota; Metazoa; Chordata; Mammalia; Rodentia; Caviidae
Source: Ensembl